Molecule: long non-coding RNA, 238 nt
Filed under: Elaeis guineensis (African oil palm)
Lineage: Eukaryota; Viridiplantae; Streptophyta; Magnoliopsida; Arecales; Arecaceae
Description: long non-coding RNA (EGUI_LNC016444)
Source: RNAcentral
CCAACGUGGCUAUCCGUCACUGGUUAGAAAUCUGAGAACGGUCACUUGAACGAAUCACAUGCUGCCACAUCGGUCGACGUGGGACAGGUGAAAAGAUGGGUGACAUUCAGUGUUUCACGCUGGCCAAAGCCCUAGUGGUCAAAUUCGGUCGGGUAAGGCAUCCUUUAAUUAAGUGAUGCGAAGCGACAGCACUAAGGUCCGCUACCACCGUUGGCGAACCGAGGGGGGUUAAACUGGG